UAGGGAAUCUUCCGCAAUUGGGCGAAAGCCUGACGGAGCAAUGCCGCGUGAGUGAUGAAGGUUUUCGGAUCGUAAAGCUCUGUUGCCAGGGAAGAACGCUUGGGAGAGUAACUGCUCUCAAGGUGACGGUACCUGAGAAGAAAGCCCCGGCUAACUACGUG
RNAcentral lists this ribosomal RNA (161 nucleotides) under Paenibacillus sp. 17c. RNAcentral's name for it is "partial 16S ribosomal RNA". It matches the Rfam family "Bacterial small subunit ribosomal RNA", at positions 355 to 507 of the family's 1533-position model. Lineage: Bacteria; Bacillati; Bacillota; Bacilli; Caryophanales; Paenibacillaceae. The record is from RNAcentral.